This is a non-coding RNA of Rattus norvegicus (Norway rat), 2639 nucleotides long. The record is from RefSeq and is a predicted model, not a curated record. Lineage: Eukaryota; Metazoa; Chordata; Mammalia; Rodentia; Muridae.
UUUAACAGUUUCAGGUCACUCCAUGGGAUACGUAUUUGAUAUCCAGGACCCAUCAGCAAGGUCAGCGCAACCUUAGAGCUUCUCUUCUGACUCCCAUAGGCAAUCCUCCUGCCUCAGCCUCCGGAGUCCUGGGAUUACAAUUCUGAACCACCACACCUGGCCUCCCUUACUGCGAAGUGACCCAUCCCAGGAGUCCCUUCUGUGUAGCUGGCUCACUGCUAGCCCAUGUCACGGACACAGAGGAAGCAGAAGAGCCCCUACCCUCAGUCCUGCAGAAGAGGCAGGUCCAGCCUCAGAGAGGGGAAGCCAGGCUGUUUAUUGAGCUGGUACCAAGAGUGAUAUGGAUCGCAGGGCCUUCCACAUGCUAAGUAUCCGUUCUGUCACUGAGCUGGACUCAGCAGGAGGCAGAAGCAGAAGGAUGGGAUGUCAGACAUGGGUAUGGAGCAGAGACACAGAUGCUGGUGAAAGACCCAUACAGGUAAAGUGAUAAGAUAAACUACAAAAGCAAAGGUUCGUUGCUCAGUCACGUGACCUGUCCAGAUUCUAAUCCUGCCUCUCUCCUCCCUCGAUUCUUCCUUUGCUUUCUUCUUCCCCCCAUCUCUCCCUUCCUUGAGAGAAGAAAAGAAAACCUUUUUCUUUUACAGUAUGGAUACUUAAAUUCCUAAACAGUUCAAAAUUGGCAAGGUGGUUCAGUAUUGGUAAAAUGGAUUGGGUUCCACAUCCCAGCUUCAUUUCUUUUUUUUUUUUUUUCUUUUCUUUUUUCCGGAGCUGGGGACUGAACCCAGGGCCUUGCGCUUGCUAGGCAAGCGCUCUACCACCGAGCUAAAUCCCCAACCCCCCAGCUUCAUUUCUUGUUCUUCAACUACUCUCUCUCUGUUGUUGCAGAAUUCACAUCUCUUGUCUGUGUGCAAACUCAUCUAAGAGUUGUACAGGAACCCUGUGGCUACGGGGUCUUCCUGUCCCCCAGUGGGAGCUACGGACUUCCCCGAAAUCACUAUCUAGGAAAGGCAGGUUUAAAGGCCAGCAGGAAAUGGAUCAUUUAUGUCUUUAGCUCCUAGCUUGGUGCCUUUGGCCGCUGAAAUGUGUACAGUCCUGUGGGUGGACUUGGGUUUAACCCGAUGAAUUGUGGGAACCGAAACAAAUGCAUGACAGAACCACGUGCGGGUGAGGGCUGCUUUUCUUACUAAGCCAGAAGAACAUGGCUGCCGGGAAGACUACAGAAACAGGGUGAGAGGGGUCACUGAAUAAAGGUACUUGCUGCCUUGUUUGAAGACCUGAGUUCUGUCUCCAGGCCCCACGUGGUAGAAGGAGAGAGCCUGCUAAGAAUGCAAGUUGUCCUCUGGCUCCAACACUUUCAUGAGUGUGCGCACGCUCACGGUAAAUAAAGAAACGUAAUUUUACGUUAUUGAAAGGUUAAAAAAACCUUUUCAAUAAUGAAAAGAUGGUGUCGUAUUUUCAUAAAACCUAUAUCCAUCCUGCACAUCCUUUUUGGUUUGAGACAGUGUGUCACCGUGUGGCCCAAAUUGACCUGCCACUCACUUCAGGUGACCCAGGGUAGCUUCUUCUGAGUUCCAAUAAUUCUGCCUCAGCCUUGUGAGGGCUGGGAUUCCAGUGGAUAACACUGUCCUUCAAAAGCUAUGAUGGAGCCUGGUGGUGGUGGUUCAUGCCUUUAAUACCAGCAGGGAUGCAGAGGUAGGUGGGUCUUGCCAUUCACAGUCAGCCUGGCCUACAGAGUGAGUUGUAGGACAGCCAAAGUCACACAGAGAAACCCUGCUUCCUCCUCCAACAAGCCCUCUCUGCUCCUUCCGAGGCUAGCCUUUCCCUCCAGCCCCUUAUGCCCCUCUUUUCUCCUGAGGUCGAUGCUGUCUGUGGCCCAGGAUGGUCAGUACCUUGGAAUCCUUCCAUAGUUAAGAUUGCAGUCUCGAGCUGCGGGUAAGGUCCUAGUAGAACAGACUGAGCCCAGUAGUCUCCUCUGCUCCACCUAUGGGUAUUCACCAGACUUUCCAAAGGAGACAUUCUUCAGGGCAUUUCCCAGGUGGUCCACAAAGCCCAGGAAGUGACUCUUGGCUCUCCUCCUGCCACAGCCCAGCCUCUCCUUGCCCUUCUUUAUACCCUUUGGGAAGCCCCAGGCCUUUCUCCCACUGAUGAAAUUCGAAGGAAUCUGGGUAGGAGGUUGGGCCAGUGGGAAGAAAGCUGGCUGGAACCAGUUUGAGUAUUGCUUUUACUAGGGGCAGGCAGUGGGGCAGAACAUUCCCAGCCAAUCCUGAUCCACAAACUUCAACCUCAGUGUCCUGGCCCAGACUCACCCUAUGUGUCCCAAAGUUCCUGGGUUCAGGAGGGCUCUUUCCUCCUCCUUCUAAGUCUGCUAUUUUUACCACUGGAGGGUAAUGGAAACAAUGCCUAGAUUAACAAUGCAGUUUGUGGUGAAUUGGCCAUUUAAAUUUUUUUUUGUUUAUUUAUAUAUCUGUGUGUGUGUGUGUGUGUGUGUGUGUGUGUGUGUUGCAUGUGCCAUGCUCCUACAUGGAGCACCCAAUCUGUGAUGGAGGAAAAGACUGGUUUUUCGCUCAAGCAUGAGGACCUGAGUUCAAAUUCCAAGCAUUCAUGUAAAAGCCUGGCACAGCAGUGAAUGAUUUUUUUUU